Molecule: ribosomal RNA, 542 nt
Filed under: Azonexus sp. enrichment culture
Lineage: Bacteria; Pseudomonadati; Pseudomonadota; Betaproteobacteria; Rhodocyclales; Azonexaceae
Description: bacterial SSU rRNA
Rfam family: Bacterial small subunit ribosomal RNA
Source: RNAcentral
GGGGCAACCCUGAUCCAGCCAUGCCGCGUGAGUGAAGAAGGCCUUCGGGUUGUAAAGCUCUUUCGGCCGGGAAGAAAUCGCGUUGGCUAAUACCCAGCGUGGAUGACGGUACCGGAAUAAGAAGCACCGGCUAACUACGUGCCAGCAGCCGCGGUAAUACGUAGGGUGCGAGCGUUAAUCGGAAUUACUGGGCGUAAAGCGUGCGCAGGCGGUUUUUUAAGAUAGGCGUGAAAUCCCCGGGCUCAACCUGGGAACUGCGCUUAUGACUGGAAGACUAGAGUAUGGCAGAGGGGGGUGGAAUUCCACGUGUAGCAGUGAAAUGCGUAGAGAUGUGGAGGAACACCGAUGGCGAAGGCAGCCCCCUGGGCCAAUACUGACGCUCAUGCACGAAAGCGUGGGGAGCAAACAGGAUUAGAUACCCUGGUAGUCCACGCCCUAAACGAUGUCAACUAGUUGUUGGGAGGGUAAAACCUUUUAGUAACGGAGCUAACGCGUGAAGUUGACCGCCUGGGGAGUACGGCCGCAAGGUUAAAACUCAAAUG